UUUCACACGGUUUCCAUACGCAACUGCAAGUUGUCAGCCAUGUUAAUAUCGACCGUACGGUCUUCUUCUCAGCCAAGUCUUUUGCUUUAUGUAGUAAUUCAAGUGGAUUAAUGAAGCAUUCCCUCACGAACUGAGAGUUUGGGUGAGCUGGUUUAGAGCAGAAACGCUUAUGCGCAUCAAGGCCCAUAACACCUUCUAUUUGUGACGGUCUUCUGCUUAUCCGCACCAAGGCCCCUGAGUCAUAACAGCUUCAAUUUGCGACUGUCUUCCGAGGAGAUGGCUCAACAAGACAAUCCUACUUGUGGCAGCCACGAAGACAAAGGAGUUCUUAUUGGUCAAGUAAAUGGUGGAGACCGAAUACAAUUGAUCAGGAUGAAAUUGGGAAAAUAUUGAAAUCUAAUUUUUUUCAAAAUUUUCUAUGUUUUAGUAAAUUGCAAUUUUGAGGGUCUUCGGUGCAUUUUUGGACAAAUAUGCUG
Molecule: long non-coding RNA, 476 nt
Organism: Cryptomeria japonica (Japanese cedar)
Lineage: Eukaryota; Viridiplantae; Streptophyta; Pinopsida; Cupressales; Cupressaceae
Exons: 4
Source: RefSeq, a predicted model, not a curated record